Long non-coding RNA from Acanthopagrus latus (yellowfin seabream), 1428 nucleotides. RefSeq lists it as uncharacterized. NCBI's taxonomy places the organism in Eukaryota, Metazoa, Chordata, Actinopteri, Spariformes, Sparidae. The record is from RefSeq and is a predicted model, not a curated record. The transcript has 3 exons.
GACAGUGGGCGUCAUGAGCCAUUUGGCAGAGACACUACAGACAGAUAGAUGAGAGGAAACAGACGACACGCAGACACCAUACAAAUGUGUGUUUGGACAGAAGCAGCUGACCCGCUCCUGACACAGUCUGAUAGGAACUGGAAACAUUUACAGUUUUACCAUGGCUCAGUUUUCACAGCUCGCAGCAGAAUACAGACUCAAGUUUGAAUACUUAUUAGGAAGCAGACGGUCACUGAAUCAUUGAAGAUCCCUCUACAAACUUGAGUUUUUACUUCAGUAAGUCAGUAGUCCAACAGUAUUUUUAAUACCAAAUGCAAAUGCUUCUCUGCACUUAAACAUUACAUUGAAUUCUGCACAAAUUAUGGAUGGAUGGGAAAACUUACUUGACUUUAUUGUGAAAGGACUGAGGCUGUCAGUGUUCAAUUUUGGCUUAAAUCUCCAUCAUUUCAAACACCAAUGUUUUCAUAAGCUUACUAAAAUGUCAGUCUACUUUUUAAAGGCCUAUUAUUCUUUUAAAAGAAACCAAUGAAUACAAUUCAAAGGCUGCCAGUAAUGAUUAUUUUCAUUCUUAAUUAAUGUGCUUUAUUUUUCUCAAAUUCAGAAUUUCAAAGAGUGAAAGUGGAGAGAGAUCCGUCGACGUUGCCGCCAUAUUGGAUGUGGCGGCUCUGCCCCGAGAACUAAUACAAGUCACUGGAGUGAACUUUAUAAAGCUCCUUCUGCAAAAACAUAUAUAGUGCAUAUUUAUAAUAUGUACAUAAUAUGAACUCUACUGCAAGUUGACCACUUCACAUACACAACAACCCUUCACCCUGUUUCUUCUCGCCUCUGUCACCAGGUGAUGCUCAGGAGGGAAAUGGCGCUCUCUGCAGAUCAACUCUUCAGUCUGGUUUAGCCCUACGCGCUUCGUUUUUUCAUAACCCCCUGCUUCCAUCUCUCAGAAAGCCCGGGGAGGAGACACAGCUCCCCUUCGGCCCGCCACACCAGCUCGGCAGGGAAUCGAAAAAAGCUUACUGAAAGUGCAAUAACUUGUGGCCUCUUUGAAUGUACUGCAGAAGAUGUGACCACACUGUGUUUUGUCCAGGUGGUGGAUGCCAGGCUGGUGUCUGGCUUUCAUGCCAGGGAGCUGGAGCUGGUCAUAGCUGGAACAGCUGACAUUGACUUAUCACACUGGACGAACAACACAGAGUACACAGGAGAUUGCGUAGGGCUAAACCAGACUGAAGAGUUGAUCUGCAGAGAGCGCCAUUUCCCUCCUGAGCAUCACCUGGUGACAGAGGCGAGAAGAAACAGGGUGAAGAGUGAGGUACCUGUGGCUGAGGCGGAGCGGGAGCGAGGCUGAGAUCUGUCUGGACUGCAGGCACUGGCUGGACUCUGAUGGCCGGCCUCUGGUACUCGGGGCUGGAGGUGACGGUGCUGUAGGCGGGGGGA